GACGAACGCUGGCGGCGUGCUUAACACAUGCAAGUCGUACGGUAAGGCCCUUUCGGGGGUCCACGAGUGGCGAACGGGUGAGUAACACGUGAGUAACCUGCCCACAACUUUGGGAUAACGCUAGGAAACUGGUGCUAAUACUGGAUAUGUGCUCCUGCUGCAUGGUGGGGGUUGGAAAGCUCCGGCGGUUGUGGAUGGACUCGCGGCCUAUCAGCUUGUUGGUGGGGUAGUGGCCUACCAAGGCGGCGACGGGUAGCCGGCCUGAGAGGGUGACCGGCCACAUUGGGACUGAGAUACGGCCCAGACUCCUACGGGAGGCAGCAGUGGGGAAUAUUGCACAAUGGGCGCAAGCCUGAUGCAGCAACGCCGCGUGCGGGAUGACGGCCUUCGGGUUGUAAACCGCUUUCAGCAGGGACGAAGCUUUUUGUGACGGUACCUGCAGAAGAAGCACCGGCUAACUACGCG
Molecule: ribosomal RNA, 465 nt
Filed under: uncultured bacterium
Lineage: Bacteria
Description: partial 16S ribosomal RNA
Rfam family: Bacterial small subunit ribosomal RNA
Source: RNAcentral